AACGAGCGCAGGUGUUGCCAAUCAACCGCACCACUCCUCUUCCUCCUCUUUCUAUUGGCGGUUAAGGUCGCUCUCCUUACUUUCUAAAGGAAAAGGUGACAUCCGGUUGGAUUUUAAAAUGCCCACUUUCACAGCCAGAGGAGAGUGAAAGGUCAAGCAAGACAGAAGUAGUGAAAGAGGAAGAUAUUGCUCCACUGAAACAGGGAGGUUAAUGGAAACUGUGAGACAGAAGUAGACAGAGGAUGAAGAAAGAGAAGCAGAGAUGGAGUUAAAACCCUCAGAGAGGAAACAGGAGAUGGAGAUAGGAAGGGGUGAGAGACCACACCCACACCUACUUCACCAACGCACCCAACUGACCCCACCCAUGUCCUGCAAUUACACCUCACAUAUGACAAAGUAUUGAUUGAAAUAAAACCACCUAUGUGUA
Long non-coding RNA from Oryzias melastigma (Indian medaka), 427 nucleotides. RefSeq lists it as uncharacterized. The transcript is spliced from 2 exons. The record is from RefSeq and is a predicted model, not a curated record. Lineage: Eukaryota; Metazoa; Chordata; Actinopteri; Beloniformes; Adrianichthyidae.